GUCUGCUCCAGCUCCCUCCGACCUGGAGUUUCUGCUUCCAGGCGAAGCUAAGCCCAGAGCAAAGCUGCAGGGGUGUGCUUCCAGGGCCCAGGAUAAUAAGCGUGCAUGAAGGGAGGCACAGAAGCUUCGCCAGUGACGUCACCGGGACAGAUCCCGCCAGGGCCAGAGGAACCUAGUUUGGAGGGUUAAGGCUGCCUCCUUCGAGAGAGCACAGAACCCAGGUGAGGUUUCAGCCUCGUGUGUGGGUAACGGUACCUUCAAGAGAAAAUGUGGUAUAUAUACACAAUGGCAUGUGACUCAGCCUUAAAGAAGAAUGAAAUUAUGGCAUUUGCAGCAUUCUCAGAAGGGCGGUCACAAUCCUAAAGGAAGUAAAGCCUGCCUUUACCCGCUCUACAUGUAGCUACCACCUGGCUGCUACGGCAGGCGGCGUCUGUGCAGAAACAGACGUUAUCACUGCCCUAAGACACCACCUGUGGGAUUCACCUGGAGGGCCACCUUCUCCAGGAUACUUUCCAUGCACCUGCAUCAGGAUGCAAAGCUUCCUCUCAGGGCCCCAAAACAUUGGGCCCUUGGCGCUCAUGACUCCAUCAGCUCUAAUGGAACCGCUGGGCCACCCGAGCAGGUUCUCUUCGCUUCUGCACAAGCGGAACGUGAUCAAUGAGGACUCCACCCACAGCACCCUUAGAGAAAGCAUCGCAGUGGUGACGGCGAUGCUGUUGGUGAAGACAGAAAUGAGAAAGAAAACACUGUCCCUUUGGAAGAAGGAUUUCUUACUCGUCUCCUCUAGUCCCAGAUGCUUGGACGUGCCUCAGCGCAGGCACGGAGCCAAGAUGGCAGCAUGAAGUCAGUUUCUUGCAGGGCCCUGUCCUCUCUGAUUGGUACUAUCCUGCCUAAUGUACUUAAGCUGUAUUGAAAUGAAAAAUGAAUAGGAAGUAGAUCUUGCUGCUAAGACAUAUGUGUCAGAAAAUCAUUAUGAGUAUUAAAUUACAGCAAUAAAAUGAACCAGAACUAAUCUUGCAAAUUAAGAUCCAAUAAAUCUUUUUUUCACGGACA
Long non-coding RNA from Ictidomys tridecemlineatus (thirteen-lined ground squirrel), 1053 nucleotides. RefSeq lists it as uncharacterized. The record is from RefSeq and is a predicted model, not a curated record. Lineage: Eukaryota; Metazoa; Chordata; Mammalia; Rodentia; Sciuridae.